CUGGCCCUGAAUCAAGGCCGGCAGCUUCCUGAUGCUGUUGGUUUCAAUCAGGAGCCUAAAGAGAUGUGUUUCUGUGGUUUAUUGGCCAUUUUAGAACUUGGGCAGUGAGAAAUGGUAAAUUCAUUAGAAAGAAACAGCU
Small nucleolar RNA from Cavia aperea (Brazilian guinea pig), 139 nucleotides. Lineage: Eukaryota; Metazoa; Chordata; Mammalia; Rodentia; Caviidae. The record is from Ensembl.